UACGUAGGGUGCGAGCGUUGUCCGGAAUUAUUGGGCGUAAAGAGCUCGUAGGCGGUGUGUCGCGUCGGCCGUGAAAACCUGCAGCUUAACUGUGGGCUUGCGGUCGAUACGGGCAUCACUGGAGUUCGGCAGGGGAGACUGGAAUUCCUGGUGUAGCGGUGAAAUGCGCAGACAUCAGGAGGAACACCGGUGGCGAAGGCGGUUCUCUGGGCAUUACCUGACGCUGAGGAGCGAAAGUGUGGGGAGCGAACAGG
RNAcentral lists this ribosomal RNA (254 nucleotides) under uncultured bacterium. Its description in RNAcentral is "partial 16S ribosomal RNA". It matches the Rfam family "Bacterial small subunit ribosomal RNA", at positions 524 to 776 of the family's 1533-position model. The record is from RNAcentral.